UUGAGAGCAGAGACCGUGUGGCCAGACCCAGAGAGCAGGGGUGUAUGGGAGGGGAAUGGUGGGAGCCGGAGUGGCUUGUAUCCAUGGAACUCCACUCCCAGACCUGCCAGUGACUCCAUGUCUCUGGGUCUCGGCUCCCCCACCAGAGCCGUGACCGUCUGAGAGCUUACAAUUUGACCCAUUCUUUGGCAGGGGGAUGGGCUCUGUGGGUUUCUAGGAGGGAGGCCAGGCUCUUCCUCCCUCCUGGGCCUUUGAGGAACUGGUCAUGCACCCGGGCAAUGGAGAGAGGACCACGAGGAGAGCUGGGCGGCUCUGGGAUAAAGGGACGUUUUGUAACCAGGACCCCCCAAAGUUUCCCUCUGGCCUUCCCAUCCCCGGAGAUGCAAGACCUCCCGACCAAGUGCCCAGUCAGUGCUGGUUCAUCGGUUGAUUUCCAAGAGUCUUGUUGAUUUCAACAAUCCAAGGAGGAAGACAAUGUAGACAGAAGGUUUCAGCCUGACGCCGCCAGGAAAACACUGUAUACAGUAUCAGCAACAUUGUGUCAUGGUUAAAUCCGACUGACUCGGUUGUCAGCCACAUAAUAACCUAAAACAAAGGACUCUGAAUGCACAUCGAAGCAUACUUUUUCCCCCCGACUUUAUUUUUCUUGUGAUUUUUUUUUCCUCCUUCUGAUCUGGAUCUGGUUUUUCUUUCACAAUUGUGAUUAAUAUGAAAAUGUUUUACAUGAUAGCAUAUGUAUAACCUAUGUCCAAAUACCUACGUUUUUUCAGAAGAGGGGAGGGAAGGGAGGGAGAGAAAAAAUUGGAAUUCAAAAAUCUGGUAAAAAUGAACGUUCAAAAUUUUCUUGACGUAACUGGAGAAAAAAUAAAACAUUAUUUAAUUUAAAAAACAA
Molecule: long non-coding RNA, 892 nt
Organism: Antechinus flavipes (yellow-footed antechinus)
Lineage: Eukaryota; Metazoa; Chordata; Mammalia; Dasyuromorphia; Dasyuridae
Exons: 2
Source: RefSeq, a predicted model, not a curated record